RNAcentral lists this transfer RNA (67 nucleotides) under Hoplopleura kitti. Its description in RNAcentral is "tRNA-Arg". Lineage: Eukaryota; Metazoa; Arthropoda; Insecta; Psocodea; Hoplopleuridae. The record is from RNAcentral.
AGAGAGUAAUCAUAUGUAAUUUUGAUGUUAGUUUCGACCUAAUAUGAGCUAGAUAUAGCACUCUCUC